GACGAACGCUGGCGGCGUGCUUAACACAUGCAAGUCGAACGGAAAGGCCCUGCUUUUGUGGGGUGCUCGAGUGGCGAACGGGUGAGUAACACGUGAGUAACCUGCCCUUGACUUUGGGAUAACUUCAGGAAACUGGGGCUAAUACCGGAUAGGAGCUCCUGCUGCAUUGUGGGGGUUGGAAAGUUUCGGCGGUUGGGGAUGGACUCGCGGCUUAUCAGCUUGUUGGUGGGGUAGUGGCUUACCAAGGCUUUGACGGGUAGCCGGCCUGAGAGGGUGACCGGCCACAUUGGGACUGAGAUACGGCCCAGACUCCUACGGGAGGCAGCAGUGGGGAAUAUUGCACAAUGGGCGGAAGCCUGAUGCAGCAACGCCGCGUGCGGGAUGACGGCCUUCGGGUUGUAAACAGCUUUAGCCUGUGACGAAGCGUGAGUGACGGUAAUGGGUAAAGAAGCACCGGCUAACUACGUG
Molecule: ribosomal RNA, 468 nt
Filed under: uncultured bacterium
Lineage: Bacteria
Description: partial 16S ribosomal RNA
Rfam family: Bacterial small subunit ribosomal RNA
Source: RNAcentral